CGAGACGCGUGAGUGCUCUGCUCACGUCACAGCACCACCACCUCAACCACUCUGCCUUCCCUUAAGAUCCCUCUCCGAGCCUCCCUGGGAACCCUAGCUGCUCCCAACCCUCCUCGCGCCGCCAGUCUCCGCUCUUGCUUCUCUGUUUUCUUUAUCCCACGAGAACGACCAAGAACGCCUCAGGUCGCCGACGCCCCGUCGCCACGGACCAUCCCGUGCCUCGCCGAAACUACCAGGAGCUCCACCUUGUAGCCAGGAUCGUCGUCGUCCACGGAAUCAAGCCGGGAAUCCCUGAAUCGACGCCAACGACCCAUUCUCUUCUCCAACCCCGGCGGAAAAUUCGUCGAUUUCGCCGCCGUCCGGCCACCUCCGUACUUCCCGAUGUGUUCUAUCACUUCCUGGUGAGUUCCUCCUCCGUUUUGAUCAAGAUCAAGAUGUAUCCAACCUUUUUCUGUUGCCCUCCAAAACUGAUGAAACUGUCGACUAUUUCUGACCGAGGCACCUCCGCCAUGGUGGACAGAAAACCUCCGUGCCUGCUGGUGCUCAUCUCCAUCGUCCUCCGCCUCGUUCUGCUCACCACCAACCUCUCGUAUUUGCUUCUUCCCGGAUAGGAUCACAAAGUGGUGAUGUGAGAUACGACAAGUUCUUCUGCAGCUUUUCACAGGCGAGCCCUCUCUCUUCACCUAUUUUACUCUCUCCCUCGCACUGCUAUUCUUAUGUUGCGAUUCUUUCUCGAGUCACGUGUCCUAUUCCACUUGUUUACCAUAAUAAUCCUAUAUGUAUCAUUCCUUACCCAUAGCCGUUGCUUGAUGUUUGAGCCUUGCGAGUCGUAGGCGUGUUUAGACUCUGUUGUUUAUCUCGAUCUGUUAUCGGGAUAUGUUGGGUUGUUGGUAGGUUAUCACAUGCUAUAUCAGUUGUUGGAGAUACACAUGAUUUACUUAUUUGUUAACAACUAAAAUUGUAAGCAGAGGCAUCUGUGAGCCCCUUUGCGAAAGCAUCGGAACUUUGACUUGCUAAUGUCCCCUAGGACCCGAGUUCUUGUUAUCUGUUCCGAGAUUGAGCGCUCUACCCGUACGUGGGGGAGUGGGACCCCAAUUACCCACUACCUUUCCUCGAGUCUGUUUAUUGGGAGCCACAACCUUGGUUUUAUUUGCUCAUAUGCAAGAUAUGCACGAUUUACUUCAUGUUGCCUUCGGGUGUUUAUAUUAUGUACUGUACUCAUAACGCGGGACUCCUUAUCCUUGGCCGGUCGUUAGUGCCCGCCUUGGAAGCCGUCGCAAACCUCUGGGUCCGUAUCGGAGUACGGCCGAACUUCGUCAUGGGUAGCUUAGUUGGGUGGCUUCCAUUAAACUUUCUCUUGCAUUGUGAACGGUCUUGAUGUGAGACUCCACCUGUAGUAACUGGGUUCGAGCAUGCGUAUGGUUACAUUUGGGAAACCCCUGCAGGGUGUACAUCUUAUCGAUAAGCCGUGUCCGCGGUUAUGGACGACUUGGAAUUGUAUGACUUGAUCAUAGAACAACUUACAUCUUUAUGUUGCUGCUAAUAACUUGAUAAUAACUUACGUAGUAAUAUAGCAUUACUACAACGGCUACCUAAUAAAACUUGUCCACCGUUGAGUGCCUUUUACAUUGCCUCUUCGCUUUGUUGGAGGGGAUAUGUGUAAUCGGCUGGGUUAUGUUUGUGUAGUAUUUUUAUCUGUUACCUUGUGCGCUCUCUUAUCUUAUCUGAUUAGACGGAUGUUGUAGUGUGUCUCUAUUGGUUACAGUUUUGCUGCCGCUAAACCUGCCAUAUAGCCCCCGGCGAUAUAUAUAUAUACUCGCCCACCGAGCAUAGCCAUUUCCAGUCUCGCUAAGUACGUGUCGGAGUUCGUUCCUUGCUACUUACUCUCGCCUUUUCCCUUUCUCUUUUGCAUCCUCCCUUUUGUCGGCAACCGAUGGCCCGACUUUGACAGGUACAAGAUGACGACGUUAGCAAGGUUACCCUUCCGGCUUGGCAUGGGUAGGGUUAUGGACGCCACUGGUUAUCUUCAGGACUCUUAGUCCAAUUUGUAUCUUGUCCGUACUUGGACGUAUUCGAUCUUCUGUAUGAUUUGUAUCUUUGUAUUGUAUAUUUGUAUCUUGACUCUUUGGAGUCGUUUUUGUAAUAUAUGUAUCUUGUGGGCUCUAUUGUAAACCUGUUGUAAUGUUA
This is a non-coding RNA of Lolium perenne, 2187 nucleotides long. Lineage: Eukaryota; Viridiplantae; Streptophyta; Magnoliopsida; Poales; Poaceae. The record is from RefSeq and is a predicted model, not a curated record.